AGCAAAUGUGUGUUUAAGAAUUUGUAAAGCAGUUUCACUUCGCCCAAGGAUCAAACAAACAUUAACCGGCAGUUAGGGGGAAUGAAGCUAAAACUUCGAGCCUCAAAUCGAUCGGAAAUACCCACGAAAUAGUAUAAGUUGGCAACCAGAUGGAUCUGCAGAAAACCGCAUUUGUCACAUAACAUUGAUCAUGUACGUGCCCCAAUUUGCAUUCACAUAACAUUCAAUGCGCAUUCUCCGUGACAAGUUUUUCAAUGGAGAACAAUGCCCAAAUAACGUUUUAAAUCAAAGGUUUGAGCAGUGCAUUUCACCAUUUUAAUUCCGCGCUGAUAUAAAAUAAAUAUCGUAAAGCGGAUAUGGAGGCGAAAGGUUAUGGGCGUCACAACCGGAUAUCACACAGUGUCUAAUCGUCAAUCUUGUGAGUGACUUUCCAAAAGAGAUAGCCGCUCGUUUUAUUUGCAAAUUAUUAGAGCGCAACAAGGAAUAAUAACAAACAUACUGCUUUUAACGAGUCGAGUUAAAAAUUGGUGUCAGGUUUCUUUUCAAAUGACUGCAACUCAACACCAUUGUGAAGCGGUUUGAAAUUUUCUCUCUUUUUUUUAUCAAAAGGGCAGCGAACCGGAAGCUUCGAUGACCGGUGUUUGACAUAAAAAAUUAUCGUUGCGAGUCGUGAAGUUGACACCGAAUCUCAACAAAAAAAAAACAUACCUGCCAGAGUUAACAUCAAAGCUAUUUUUUGAAGAUAUGAAUCUGCUAGAGCCGGUAAUUAAGAACAGAAAACACGCUAGAGGAACGUAAGCGACACGCAAGCCGAUAUGCCUUAACAUUAUACAGCCACUCUGAACACAUUGCGAUAAAGUAGUGGGUGAUCAUAUGUGUCUAGUCCUGUCUAAGUUUGACUUAUAUUACCAAAGUAACAGAUUUCGAGGCCUGUGAACGAACUCGAAAAAGUGUGUCAACACGACAGUUCGAAAAUCCUGCGUCACGGAAAUGAAUACUGAACCGAUUUACUUGGUAUAUCGUGCUUGUUUAAAUCACCGCUCAGAUUUUAGUAUCGAAAUCACGAAUCCAGUGUGUUGUCACGAAUUUUAUUGUGCGACCCCCAAGAGAGAUUCAGACAAUUCUCUCUAGCAUCCGUUCGAGACAUGAUGUUUUGGCAUGUUUGUAGAGAUUUUUUAAAUAAAAUUUGAGACCCGAGCGGUCUGUAAAGUGUAAAGACCGCCGCAUUGCGAUUUUCUUAUUCAAGAAUUUUGAUUUCGCCUCAGGCGAAAAGCGGGUUGAUUAUAGAACAAUAUUUUGUCUCUGAUUUUGUCUAAAGCUGAUUUCACGGACAAAUAGCUCAUUUUGGCAUGUGGGUUAAUAAGAGGCGUUUCUUAAAUUAAUAUGUCCCUUUACCUAACAUGCUUUGUUGAGUGACUCCUAAAGGCCGACACUGGAUUAUUCGGAUAUAUCGCUGUUGAAGUUGGAGACUGGACUGAAAUCGGUUGCACCGCGGGUCAGAUCAGUAAACAUUUGGUCCCUCAGACAGCAGGGAUUUACGCGAAAAGGUUAAACAAUAACAGAUCAACGCAGAAACAUAACCAGUCGAGUAAACAUGGAUGAGUUUGUUUUUGGAGUCGAAUUCUUUACUUCUCCGUCUUAAAUUUUUUCUGCAAAGAUCGUGGGACGAUUCGUGCAGAUCGGGCCAUGUCUAGCUAUGCUUGGGUGUAAGUUGACCUGGCAAUUUGAAUGGCGGACAGCUAUGAUCUCUUAACUGCGGGAGCUCCAUAGAAAAUCUUGCCAUUCGUUAACUAAAUGAGAUACGUUUGGAAAAUCGAGAUAAAAGACGACAUUGAAAUAUUGCACUUGAGUGCGUUUGAAUGGAGUGUUUUAAACGAUCUGCCAGUUUGUUAAGACCCCUUGCGUACUCACGUUAUCAAAAAAUCUGGUCGGCAUGCAGGCCUUAUACAAUUACUUGCAAAUCACGAGGUUUUCUUCAGAUGAGACCUAACAUAUUUCAAAUUUAUUAAGGCUGCUGCUUUCCAAAUUUCAUCGAUGCUAAAGUGAUUGGCGCAAUAUUGAACACCAUGUUGAAAUUAAUCUGAAGUUUUGUUACACUAUUUAGAUUGGCGCGUUCACCAUCAAAUCUUUUAUAGAUCUUCGGCAAUCAAAAUAGUUUUAAAUUAAUCAGUUUAGUUGUUCCCUUAACAUGUUGGUUUUCGUAUGUGAUUAAAAAUUAGUUUGAUGCUUGAUGGCGGGUCGCGAGACCUCUGCUUAAUUGAAUUCGAAAUUUUAAAUGUAAUCUAUCAUAUGAUCAAUUAGGGCUAUCAAUCUCGUGAAAUGUUUUAAGCCUAAUCACGUUCGGCCACAAUUGUGGCAGACGACACGCCAUCGAAUCACGAAAUUAAGAUAUUUUUAGUCACUAAUUUUCUCACUCAGUAACUCUGUCGAGACAUCUGCAUGGUAAGUUGUAAAAUACGAAAUUCCUUUUAGAAAUUUUUAACUGUACCUCACCGAAUUAUUAAAAUAAGAAGAGCUGAAUUUUUUUUCUUGAUGGCGAAAUAAGCGAUUAUCGUCUAAUCAUGAAAAAAUUCCUUUAGUGGCAAACCAUUCAUACUUUGUGCGACGGUAAGGAGAAUAUUGCUUUUGAGAUGUGAGUUAUCUUAGAUCGCAGACAGAAAAGUAUUUUAAUCUUCAUUUGUAUUCUCAUAAGUCAGUUCAAUUUUUUUUCGGAAUAUUUGACAAGAAGCUAGGAAAGAAUCCAGCACUUCUUUGCAAAGUGUGCAGCUAGAUUGUUCUAUGAAAGUGGAUCUCUUUAAGAACCUGUUGAGUAAGCACUUUGACACAUGUUAAAACGCUCGACCAAUAUUCACAGGAACAAGCUACACGGAACUUCAAUACUCUAUAAAUACGAACGAUCCAGUCAAGAAAUAUUGUCAACGUUUGCUACCUGGACCUAAACAUCUCAGCUAAUUUCAGUGCUGCAAGGUCACAUAACCUGAAUGGAUCCUGUUAGACAAAGAGCAAGUCACGCCAAUCACAUCGAUCCGGCAACGAAAUAAUAUUGGGCUAAACAUUCUUUAGAUCAAGCCAUUUUAGGUAAUGUUGA
This 3088-nucleotide long non-coding RNA is filed under the name Pocillopora damicornis (cauliflower coral). RNAcentral describes it as "uncharacterized LOC113679310". The record is from RNAcentral. Lineage: Eukaryota; Metazoa; Cnidaria; Anthozoa; Scleractinia; Pocilloporidae.